RNAcentral lists this ribosomal RNA (700 nucleotides) under Alphaproteobacteria bacterium. RNAcentral's name for it is "bacterial SSU rRNA". It matches the Rfam family "Bacterial small subunit ribosomal RNA", at positions 72 to 788 of the family's 1533-position model. Lineage: Bacteria; Pseudomonadati; Pseudomonadota; Alphaproteobacteria. The record is from RNAcentral.
GAAGCCCUUCGGGGUGGAUUAGUGGCGAACGGGUGAGUAACACGUGGGCAAUCUGCCCUUCACUCUGGGACAAGCCCUGGAAACGGGGUCUAAUACCGGAUAACACUCUGUCCCGCAUGGGACGGGGUUAAAAGCUCCGGCGGUGAAGGAUGAGCCCGCGGCCUAUCAGCUUGUUGGUGGGGUAAUGGCCUACCAAGGCGACGACGGGUAGCCGGCCUGAGAGGGCGACCGGCCACACUGGGACUGAGACACGGCCCAGACUCCUACGGGAGGCAGCAGUGGGGAAUAUUGCACAAUGGGCGAAAGCCUGAUGCAGCGACGCCGCGUGAGGGAUGACGGCCUUCGGGUUGUAAACCUCUUUCAGCAGGGAAGAAGCGAAAGUGACGGUACCUGCAGAAGAAGCGCCGGCUAACUACGUGCCAGCAGCCGCGGUAAUACGUAGGGCGCAAGCGUUGUCCGGAAUUAUUGGGCGUAAAGAGCUCGUAGGCGGCUUGUCACGUCGGAUGUGAAAGCCCGGGGCUUAACCCCGGGUCUGCAUUCGAUACGGGCUAGCUAGAGUGUGGUAGGGGAGAUCGGAAUUCCUGGUGUAGCGGUGAAAUGCGCAGAUAUCAGGAGGAACACCGGUGGCGAAGGCGGAUCUCUGGGCCAUUACUGACGCUGAGGAGCGAAAGCGUGGGGAGCGAACAGGAUUAGAUACCCU